This 253-nucleotide long non-coding RNA is filed under the name Medicago truncatula (barrel medic). RNAcentral's name for it is "long non-coding RNA (MTRU_LNC004314)". Lineage: Eukaryota; Viridiplantae; Streptophyta; Magnoliopsida; Fabales; Fabaceae. The record is from RNAcentral.
CUUAUACCAAUAACUUUUGAUAUUCUUAAAUAAGUUGAAAAUUCAAACAAGCAUAAAUAAAAGAUGUGAGGGAAAUUAUAGUAGUACCAACAUUAUGACUUACAUCUUUAAAAAAAGAACAUUAUGACUUACAAAUAUAAUUACAUGCAUGAAAGUUACAUACGAAUUCUUUUUCUUACUUGCAUUUGCAAUUAUGUUCAAUGCACCGUGGAGUUAGAGGAGGGCGACACAUAUUUUUUAAACAAUCAUCGCU